This 253-nucleotide ribosomal RNA is filed under the name uncultured bacterium. RNAcentral's name for it is "partial 16S ribosomal RNA". It matches the Rfam family "Bacterial small subunit ribosomal RNA", at positions 524 to 776 of the family's 1533-position model. The record is from RNAcentral.
UACGUAGGGGGCAAGCGUUGUCCGGAAUCAUUGGGCGUAAAGCGCGUGUAGGCGGCCCGGUAAGUCCGCUGUGAAAGUCGGGGGCUCAACCCUCGGAUGCCGGUGGAUACUGUCGGGCUAGAGUGUGGGAGAGGCGAGUGGAAUUCCUGGUGUAGCGGUGAAAUGCGCAGAUAUCAGGAGGAACACCAAUUGCGAAGGCAGCUCGCUGGAACGUUACUGACGCUGAGACGCGAAAGCGUGGGGAGCAAACAGG